CAGUAGCCGCGGGAAUACGUAGGUGGCAAGCGUUGUCCGGAAUUAUUGGGCGUAAAGGGCUCGCGGGCGGUUUCUUAAGUCUGAUGUGAAAGCCCCCGGCUCAACCGGGGAGGGUCAUUGGAAACUGGGAAACUUGAGUGCAGAAGAGGAGAGUGGAAUUCCACGUGUAGCGGUGAAAUGCGUAGAGAUGUGGAGGAACACCAGUGGCGAAGGCGACUCUCUGGUCUGUAACUGACGCUGAGGAGCGAAAGCGUGGGGAGCGAACAGGAUUAGAUACCCCGGUAGUCCCUGUCUCUUAUAC
Molecule: ribosomal RNA, 301 nt
Filed under: uncultured bacterium
Lineage: Bacteria
Description: partial 16S ribosomal RNA
Rfam family: Bacterial small subunit ribosomal RNA
Source: RNAcentral